RNAcentral lists this ribosomal RNA (562 nucleotides) under Salmonella enterica subsp. enterica serovar Havana str. CFSAN001082. RNAcentral describes it as "bacterial LSU rRNA". It matches the Rfam family "Bacterial large subunit ribosomal RNA", at positions 2371 to 2925 of the family's 2925-position model. Lineage: Bacteria; Pseudomonadati; Pseudomonadota; Gammaproteobacteria; Enterobacterales; Enterobacteriaceae. The record is from RNAcentral.
GACUGCGAGCGUGACGGCGCGAGCAGGUGCGAAAGCAGGUCAUAGUGAUCCGGUGGUUCUGAAUGGAAGGGCCAUCGCUCAACGGAUAAAAGGUACUCCGGGGAUAACAGGCUGAUACCGCCCAAGAGUUCAUAUCGACGGCGGUGUUUGGCACCUCGAUGUCGGCUCAUCACAUCCUGGGGCUGAAGUAGGUCCCAAGGGUAUGGCUGUUCGCCAUUUAAAGUGGUACGCGAGCUGGGUUUAGAACGUCGUGAGACAGUUCGGUCCCUAUCUGCCGUGGGCGCUGGAGAACUGAGGGGGGCUGCUCCUAGUACGAGAGGACCGGAGUGGACGCAUCACUGGUGUUCGGGUUGUCAUGCCAAUGGCACUGCCCGGUAGCUAAAUGCGGAAGAGAUAAGUGCUGAAAGCAUCUAAGCACGAAACUUGCCCCGAGAUGAGUUCUCCCUGAGACUUAGAGUCUCCUGAAGGAACGUUGAAGACGACGACGUUGAUAGGCCGGGUGUGUAAGCGCAGCGAUGCGUUGAGCUAACCGGUACUAAUGAACCGUGAGGCUUAACCUUAC